Molecule: ribosomal RNA, 495 nt
Filed under: uncultured bacterium
Lineage: Bacteria
Description: partial 16S ribosomal RNA
Rfam family: Bacterial small subunit ribosomal RNA
Source: RNAcentral
GACGAACGCUGGCGGCGUGCCUAAUACAUGCAAGUAGAACGCUGAAGGAGGAGCUUGCUUCUCUGGAUGAGUUGCGAACGGGUGAGUAACGCGUAGGUAACCUGCCUGGUAGCGGGGGAUAACUAUUGGAAACGAUAGCUAAUACCGCAUAAUAGUAGAUGUUGCAUGACAUUUGCUUAAAAGGUGCAAUUGCAUCACUACCAGAUGGACCUGCGUUGUAUUAGCUAGUUGGUGGGGUAACGGCUCACCAAGGCGACGAUACAUAGCCGACCUGAGAGGGGGAUCGGCCACACUGGGACUGAGACACGGCCCAGACUCCUACGGGAGGCAGCAGUAGGGAAUCUUCGGCAAGGGACGGAAGUCUGACCGAGCAACGCCGCGUGAGUGAAGAAGGUUGUCGGAUCGUAAAGCUCUGUUGUAAGAGAAGAACGAGUGUGAGAGUGGAAAGUUCACACUGUGACGGUAGCUUACCAGAAAGGGACGGCUAACUACGUG